UCCAUUUUUAAUUAAUCAUGCAACCCUAUACUGUACAAUUUGAACGUUUGAGGUGUUUUUUUAAGCAACUAUUACAUAAAUACAUACAAACAAACACAGCAUGGAUUGUUUAUAAGCUAGGACCAAUCAAGGGCAGUUUCAGCAUUAGGGUGACAGGGCGACACAUCACCAAAGUGUGAAAGGGAGGGAUUUUUUCUAUCACAUUCAAUCACAGCGGUCACUUUUCUAGACUGUUUGUUCUGCCUCUGGAUAUAUAGUCCAAUCUUUAUAAAACAAGAAGCACAAAAGGGCUGUGCUUAAAAAUAUAAACCAUUACAGCAAACCAGGAAGGAACUUGAAACAUGAGUCAGUUCUGAGUGUGGCUCAACCUGCUGUUCACAGACUGGUGAUUAAACACUUCCACAGGAGAGAGAUGGACAGACAGAGCGAGAGAGCGGGCCUUAAACUGAGCUUUAGUGGCCAUUGUCAUAAUUACCAGAAUUACAAUUAAAAACAGUUCACGUCUUUGUCAACCUUGGGAUUGCUAGUUGGAAAAUACCAAUUAUGAAACCUCAGUCUUGUGACGUAAUACAUAGUGUCCAAAUGGCCACAGCCUCAACAGUUAUAAGCAGUAAGGAGGAACACAUUUGCUUCAUAUGCCAUUUUUAUUGUAGCUGAUGCUGAUGAAGUCAAAGUCAUUUUUGUUGACCUUACCUAUUUGGCACGUAACUCGCCCCUGUGCUACAGACGUAAAAGAUACAUCAACUUUUAUACUGGCAGUCGAUCCCUGCUUUAUUUUUGGUACAGGCAGGAUUUAGACCUCUAACAGUCUUUGUACAAACCUGGAGUCUUGUUAAUGUGUGCCAAAAUGUACAUUUUGACACUAAAUUGAAGGACCUUGAACCACCUGUAUUUGUACACAUUUGGCUUAUCAGAUCUCAUCACAAUCAAGCCAAGUAUAAGAACACAAGCCGUUCUCUAAAAUACAGGCCUGGGACAAACAUUCUCUGUACACAGUGUACCAUCUAUCAAGCAAACCCAAACAACACUAGAGGCGUAGAGAUUUGAGGAAGAAAUCAGUAGAGGGAGAUCUGUAGUCAGUAAAGUGAGAGGCAAAGAGGAAGAAGCCAGGAAACAAUUAGGGAAACCAAAAAAAGAUCUACACAUUCCCAGAACUCAAAAAACCUUGGCUUGAUGGACAGCCGGACACAAGGCCUUAACGUUACACCUGAUGAGGAUGUUUCUCCCUCCCCGGGCCCAACAUCAACAGACAGUGUUGCCAGAUUGGAAAUGUCCAAGUAUCGGACCAGAAGUUCAAAAUUAUCGUAUUUGGAAGAAAAUUAUUACAUUUAACAAUUAACAACAUUUUGACACGACCUGCAAAUUACCACUAGGAGUAUGGUUGGACGGAAGCAGUGCGACAAAAAUACUAUCCCAUAAUUUUGCACAGUAAUCUGACAAUAAAUGUGGCACACCCAGAUUUUCAUAUGCACACCCAGAGUCUCUUUUCUGGCUACACUACUGGAGACAAGAAAGGUGAAGGGCUAAGGGGUAGAAUUGGGAUUGGGCCUAAGUGUCGGUUACGUUCAAUAAUAAAAAAAAACAAAAAACAACAACACAUGGCUUGUUUACAAGUCCAUUUAAAGUUUCAUUUUUUGAACAGUUGUUUGAAAUGGAUUGAAUCAUUAUUUAAAAUAAUCUUGGAGAUUUUUUAAUUGCCUAAAUCAUAAAUGCAGCCGGGGUUGAAGCCUGCAGUGAUCUUUUGUUAUGGCAGACGUCCCCUCUGCUUGUAUAUUUUUUCGAGAAUGUUGCACUCAUGUUGCUGUUUGUUAUUCUGCACAAAACUUCAUGCCAAUAAAUAAGAAACAUUGCUGA
Molecule: long non-coding RNA, 1854 nt
Organism: Carassius gibelio (silver crucian carp)
Lineage: Eukaryota; Metazoa; Chordata; Actinopteri; Cypriniformes; Cyprinidae
Exons: 2
Source: RefSeq, a predicted model, not a curated record